RNAcentral lists this transfer RNA (73 nucleotides) under Ictidomys tridecemlineatus (thirteen-lined ground squirrel). RNAcentral describes it as "Spermophilus tridecemlineatus (thirteen-lined ground squirrel) tRNA". It matches the Rfam family "tRNA". From Rfam's summary of the family: Transfer RNA (tRNA) molecules are approximately 80 nucleotides in length. Their secondary structure includes four short double-helical elements and three loops (D, anti-codon, and T loops). Further hydrogen bonds mediate the characteristic L-shaped molecular structure. tRNAs have two regions of fundamental functional importance: the anti-codon, which is responsible for specific mRNA codon recognition, and the 3' end, to which the tRNAs corresponding amino acid is attached (by aminoacyl-tRNA synthetases). tRNAs cope with the degeneracy of the genetic code in two manners: having more than one tRNA (with a specific anti-codon) for a particular amino acid; and 'wobble' base-pairing, i.e. permitting non-standard base-pairing at the 3rd anti-codon position. Lineage: Eukaryota; Metazoa; Chordata; Mammalia; Rodentia; Sciuridae. The record is from Rfam by way of RNAcentral.
GGGGCUGUAGCUCAGUGGUAGAGUUCUUGCCUCACAUGUAUGUGGAAGGCACUGGAUUCAAUCCUCAGCACCA